GGGCGCUUGGUGCAGCGGUAGCACGCCACCUGUUCAGGUGGAGAGGUUUGGUUCGAAUCCAAUAGUGUCCA
Molecule: non-coding RNA, 71 nt
Organism: Westerdykella ornata
Lineage: Eukaryota; Fungi; Ascomycota; Dothideomycetes; Pleosporales; Sporormiaceae
Source: the annotation of a RefSeq genome assembly